RNAcentral lists this ribosomal RNA (469 nucleotides) under uncultured bacterium. RNAcentral's name for it is "partial 16S ribosomal RNA". It matches the Rfam family "Bacterial small subunit ribosomal RNA", at positions 28 to 506 of the family's 1533-position model. The record is from RNAcentral.
GACGAACGCUGGCGGCGUGCUUAACACAUGCAAGUCGAACGCUGAAGCACCAGCUUGCUGGUGUGGAUGAGUGGCGAACGGGUGAGUAAUACGUGAGUAACCUGCCCUUGACUCUGGGAUAAGCCCGGGAAACUGGGUCUAAUACUGGAUGCUACAUGUCACCGCAUGGUGGUGUGUGGAAAGGGUUUACUGGUCUUGGAUGGGCUCACGGCCUAUCAGCUUGUUGGUGAGGUAAUGGCUCACCAAGGCGGCGACGGGUAGCCGGCCUGAGAGGGUGACCGGCCACACUGGGACUGAGACACGGCCCAGACUCCUACGGGAGGCAGCAGUGGGGAAUAUUGCACAAUGGGCGAAAGCCUGAUGCAGCGGCGCCGCGUGAGGGAUGACGGCCUUCGGGUUGUAAACCUCUUUCAGCAGGGAAGAAGCCACAAGUGACGGUACCUGCAGAAGAAGCGCCGGCUAACUACGU